AUACGGAGGGUGCGAGCGUUGUUCGGAAUUAUUGGGCGUAAAGCGCGUGUAGGCGGUCUGUUAAGUCUGAUGUGAAAGCCCCGGGCUCAACCCGGGAAGUGCAUUGGAUACUGGCAGACUUGAGUACGGGAGAGGAAAGUGGAAUUCCGAGUGUAGGGGUGAAAUCCGUAGAUAUUCGGAGGAACACCAGUGGCGAAGGCGGCUUUCUGGACCGAUACUGACGCUGAGACACGAAAGCGUGGGGAGCAAACAGGAUUAGAUACCCUAGUAGUCC
This 274-nucleotide ribosomal RNA is filed under the name uncultured bacterium. RNAcentral's name for it is "partial 16S ribosomal RNA". It matches the Rfam family "Bacterial small subunit ribosomal RNA", at positions 523 to 796 of the family's 1533-position model. The record is from RNAcentral.